AGAAUCAACGCUGGCGGCGUGCCUAACACAUGCAAGUCGCACGAGAAAGGGACUUCGGUCUUGAGUAAAGUGGCGCACGGGUGAGUAACACGUGACUAAUCUACCCUCGAGUGGGGAAUAACUGAGAGAAAUCUUAGCUAAUACCGCAUAACACUUACGAGUCAAAGCAGCAAUGCGCUUGGGGAGGAGGUCGCGGCCGAUUAGCUAGUUGGCGGGGUAAUGGCCCACCAAGGCGAUGAUCGGUAUCCGGCCUGAGAGGGCGCACGGACACACUGGAACUGAAACACGGUCCAGACUCCUACGGGAGGCAGCAGUGGGGAAUUUUGCGCAAUGGGGGAAACCCUGACGCAGCAACGCCGCGUGGAGGAUGAAGUAUCUUGGUACGUAAACUCCUUUCGAUGGGGAAGAUAAUGACGGUACCCAUAGAAGAAGCCCCGGCUAACUUCGUGCCAGCAGCCGC
This 460-nucleotide ribosomal RNA is filed under the name uncultured bacterium. RNAcentral describes it as "SSU rRNA". It matches the Rfam family "Bacterial small subunit ribosomal RNA", at positions 26 to 518 of the family's 1533-position model. The record is from RNAcentral.